UCUCCGUUGGUGAACCAGCGGAGGGAUCAUUGCUGGAAGCGUCUCACGGCGCACCCAGAUACCCUUUGUGAACCUAUACCUAUCUGUUGCCUCGGCGCAAGCUACCCGGGACCUCGCGCCCCGGGGCGGCCCGCCGGCGGACAAACCAAAACUCUUGUUAUCUUAGUUGAUUAUCUGAGUGUCUUAUUUAAUAAGUCAAAACUUUCAACAACGGAUCUCUUGGUUCUGGCAUCGAUGAAGAACGCAGC
RNAcentral lists this unclassified non-coding RNA (248 nucleotides) under uncultured fungus. Its description in RNAcentral is "sequence contains ITS1, 5.8S rRNA gene". The stretch from base 200 to 248 matches the Rfam family "5.8S ribosomal RNA", at positions 1 to 49 of the family's 154-position model. The record is from RNAcentral. Lineage: Eukaryota; Fungi.